UACAUCAGGAGCAAGAACAAGAGCUCAAACCCUAGUUCACCCAAAAUCAACAAAUUGAAGGUCAAAUCUAGCCCAAAUCAAAUGCAUGAACACAAAUUUGUGAUCACCUAAGCUUGGGGAUCAUAAGUUUGACGCUUAACAAGCUACAUGGAAGCUCGGGAAGGAAGCGAGUCAAACGGAUUGAGCACGCGGAAAAGAAUAACCGGAUGCAAGGUACGCACAAGGAAUGAUACUCUUGUGAAGGGUACAUGUACCAACCAUAAUAUGGAUUAUGGUUGGAGUAAAUAAGGGGCUGUUUGGCAACAUCUGAACCAAUAAGUGCUGAAUGAAUAAGAGGUCUGAAUAGCUAAGAGGCUCUGAACCAUUAAGUGCUGAAUCAGUAGAGUACUGUUUGGUUGCACCUCUGAAUGACUAUGUAAAAUGACAUUUUUACCCCUCUAAACUACUUAUAUA
This is a long non-coding RNA of Helianthus annuus (common sunflower), 453 nucleotides long. RefSeq lists it as uncharacterized. The transcript has 3 exons. The record is from RefSeq and is a predicted model, not a curated record. Lineage: Eukaryota; Viridiplantae; Streptophyta; Magnoliopsida; Asterales; Asteraceae.